Cinara cedri is the source of this 351-nucleotide non-coding RNA. The record is from the annotation of a GenBank genome assembly. NCBI's taxonomy places the organism in Eukaryota, Metazoa, Arthropoda, Insecta, Hemiptera, Aphididae.
CGGAAACUCGUUUAAAGUUCGGAAAUAUAAUGAUAACAUAUUAUAAUAUCACGGGUAACAGGUAAAAUGAGAUAUUGAUGUCAUUUUAAAACCUUUCAGUUCGUAGUUAGUAGUCAAAUAUUACUACAUUAUUAUUUAAACUCUAAACACCGUCCAUUUGCCAGAUAUGUGGGAUGAAAAUCUGACUGAAAUGUCAUCAUCGUAAACGCGUAUCAGAAAAUAGAAAUACAUCUGUUGUGGUAUAUAUAGUGAUAUAUAACAAUAUAGUGAUUUUUAAAUCGUCAACGUCAAAACAAUCUACGCACUAUUAUGUAAAAUUAAUUAAUAUUAUUACAGUUUUACGCGUAUCCC